GACGAACGCUGGCGGCGCGCCUAACACAUGCAAGUCGAACGAGAGAUGAGGAGCUUGCUCUUCAAAUCGAGUGGCGAACGGGUGAGUAACGCGUGAGGAACCUGCCUCAAAGAGGGGGACAACAGUUGGAAACGACUGCUAAUACCGCAUAAGCCCACGGCUCGGCAUCGAGCAGAGGGAAAAGGAGCAAUCCGCUUUGAGAUGGCCUCGCGUCCGAUUAGCUAGUUGGUGAGGUAACGGCCCACCAAGGCGACGAUCGGUAGCCGGACUGAGAGGUUGAACGGCCACAUUGGGACUGAGACACGGCCCAGACUCCUACGGGAGGCAGCAGUGGGGGAUAUUGCACAAUGGGGGGAAACUCUGAUGCAGCGACGCCGCGUGAGUGAAGAAGUAUUCGGUAUGUAAAGCUCUAUCAGCAGGGAGACAGUGACGGUACCUGACUAAGAAGCUCCGGCUAAAUACGUG
RNAcentral lists this ribosomal RNA (465 nucleotides) under uncultured bacterium. Its description in RNAcentral is "bacterial SSU rRNA". It matches the Rfam family "Bacterial small subunit ribosomal RNA", at positions 28 to 507 of the family's 1533-position model. The record is from RNAcentral.